RNAcentral lists this ribosomal RNA (642 nucleotides) under uncultured bacterium. RNAcentral describes it as "bacterial SSU rRNA". It matches the Rfam family "Bacterial small subunit ribosomal RNA", at positions 875 to 1518 of the family's 1533-position model. The record is from RNAcentral.
GGGGAGUACGACCGCAAGGUUGAAACUCAAAGGAAUUGACGGGGGCCCGCACAAGCGGUGGAGCAUGUGGUUUAAUUCGAAGCAACGCGAAGAACCUUACCAGGUCUUGACAUACUCGUGCUAUCCUUAGAGAUAAGGAGUUCCUCCGGGACACGGGAUACAGGUGGUGCAUGGUUGUCGUCAGCUCGUGUCGUGAGAUGUUGGGUUAAGUCCCGCAACGAGCGCAACCCUUAUUACUAGUUGCCAUCAUUAAGUUGGGCACUCUAGUGAGACUGCCGGUGAUAAACCGGGGGAAGGUGGGGAUGACGUCAAAUCAUCAUGCCCCUUAUGACCUGGGCUACACACGUGCUACAAUGGAUGGUACAACGAGUCGCCAACCCGCGAGGGUGCGCUAAUCUCUUAAAACCAUUCUCAGUUCGGAUUGCAGGCUGCAACUCGCCUGCAUGAAGUCGGAAUCGCUAGUAAUCGCGGAUCAGCACGCCGCGGUGAAUACGUUCCCGGGCCUUGUACACACCGCCCGUCACACCACGGAAGUUGGGAGUACCCAAAGUAGGUUGCCUAACCGCAAGGAGGGCGCUUCCUAAGGUAAGACCGAUGACUGGGGUGAAGUCGUAACAAGGUAACCAAGGGCGAAUUCGCGGC